GACUCUUAGGGGCCAUAGCUCAGUUGGGAUGAGCGCGUGUCUUUGCUAAGCAUGAGGUCGUCGGUUCGAUCCCGUCUGGCUCCACCAUUUCCUGCAUUCCGAUGAGGGAUGCGGUCGAGAUGGUCGGUGGUGAAGCGCUUCAAGCGUGAGAGAAGAACAUCCGGUUCUUUUCUCUUCUGUCCGCACAAUCUGUUUCGCUGAUCCUCAGCAAGCCCCCAUGUGGGCGAGGAUGAGCGCUGCUGUCUGACAUUGUGAAUCUGGGCGUUUUCGAUUUGCUGGCCGCAAGGCUGGCGGGUCGUGACAAUCAAGCUUUCGGGCUUGAGAGGACACGAUCAUCGGGUGCUGACCGCACCGGUGUCGAAAAUGUCGAAGCUGGUCUUUAGCGUCCAGCCCUCUCGCUGAUCCGCCUGGUGCGGAUUGAUGAGAACCUCAGCC
RNAcentral lists this ribosomal RNA (435 nucleotides) under Azorhizobium sp. STM 3336. RNAcentral describes it as "partial 16S-23S ribosomal RNA intergenic spacer". The stretch from base 9 to 84 matches the Rfam family "tRNA". The record is from RNAcentral. Lineage: Bacteria; Pseudomonadati; Pseudomonadota; Alphaproteobacteria; Hyphomicrobiales; Xanthobacteraceae.